AGUGAACGCUGGCGGUAGGCCUAACACAUGCAAGUCGAACGGCAGCACAGUAAGAGCUUGCUCUUACGGGUGGCGAGUGGCGGACGGGUGAGGAAUAAAUCGGAAUCUACUUUUUCGUGGGGGAUAACGUAGGGAAACUUACGCUAAUACCGCAUACGACCUACGGGUGAAAGCAGGGGAUCUUCGGACCUUGCGCGAUUGAAUGAGCCGAUGUCGGAUUAGCUAGUUGGCGGGGUAAAGGCCCACCAAGGCGACGAUCCGUAGCUGGUCUGAGAGGAUGAUCAGCCACACUGGAACUGAGACACGGUCCAGACUCCUACGGGAGGCAGCAGUGGGGAAUAUUGGACAAUGGGCGCAAGCCUGAUCCAGCCAUACCGCGUGGGUGAAGAAGGCCUUCGGGUUGUAAAGCCCUUUUGUUGGGAAAGAAAAGCAGCAGGUUAAUACCCCGCUGUUCUGACGGUACCCAAUGAAUAAGCACCGGCUAACUUCGUG
This 492-nucleotide ribosomal RNA is filed under the name uncultured bacterium. RNAcentral's name for it is "partial 16S ribosomal RNA". It matches the Rfam family "Bacterial small subunit ribosomal RNA", at positions 29 to 507 of the family's 1533-position model. The record is from RNAcentral.